CAGGCUUAACACAUGCAAGUCGAGGGGCAUCAGGAAGAAAGCUUGCUUUCUUUGCUGGCGACCGGCGCACGGGUGAGUAACACGUAUCCAACCUGCCCUUUACUCGGGGAUAGCCUUUCGAAAGAAAGAUUAAUACCCGAUGGCAUAAUGAUUCCGCAUGGUUUCAUUAUUAAAGGAUUCCGGUAAAGGAUGGGGAUGCGUUCCAUUAGGUUGUUGGUGAGGUAACGGCUCACCAAGCCUUCGAUGGAUAGGGGUUCUGAGAGGAAGGUCCCCCACAUUGGAACUGAGACACGGUCCAAACUCCUACGGGAGGCAGCAGUGAGGAAUAUUGGUCAAUGGGCGCUAGCCUGAACCAGCCAAGUAGCGUGAAGGAUGAAGGCUCUAUGGGUCGUAAACUUCUUUUAUAUAAGAAUAAAGUGCAGUAUGUAUACUGUUUUGUAUGUAUUAUAUGAAUAAGGAUCGGCUAACUCCGUGCCAGCAGCCGCGGUAAUACGGAGGAUCCGAGCGUUAUCCGGAUUUAUUGGGUUUAAAGGGAGCGUAGGUGGACUGGUAAGUCAGUUGUGAAAGUUUGCGGCUCAACCGUAAAAUUGCAGUUGAUACUGUCAGUCUUGAGUACAGUAGAGGUGGGCGGAAUUCGUGGUGUAGCGGUGAAAUGCUUAGAUAUCACGAAGAACUCCGAUUGCGAAGGCAGCUCACUGGACUGCAACUGACACUGAUGCUCGAAAGUGUGGGUAUCAAACAGGAUUAGAUACCCUGGUAGUCCACACAGUAAACGAUGAAUACUCGCUGUUUGCGAUAUACAGUAAGCGGCCAAGCGAAAGCAUUAAGUAUUCCACCUGGGGAGUACGCCGGCAACGGUGAAACUCAAAGGAAUUGACGGGGGCCCGCACAAGCGGAGGAACAUGUGGUUUAAUUCGAUGAUACGCGAGGAACCUUACCCGGGCUUAAAUUGCAGUGGAAUGAUGUGGAAACAUGUCAGUGAGCAAUCACCGCUGUGAAGGUGCUGCAUGGUUGUCGUCAGCUCGUGCCGUGAGGUGUCGGCUUAAGUGCCAUAACGAGCGCAACCCUUAUCUUUAGUUACUAACAGGUUAUGCUGAGGACUCUAGAGAGACUGCCGUCGUAAGAUGUGAGGAAGGUGGGGAUGACGUCAAAUCAGCACGGCCCUUACGUCCGGGGCUACACACGUGUUACAAUGGGGGGUACAGAAGGCAGCUAGCGGGUGACCGUAUGCUAAUCCCAAAAGCCUCUCUCAGUUCGGAUCGAAGUCUGCAACCCGACUUCGUGAAGCUGGAUUCGCUAGUAAUCGCGCAUCAGCCACGGCGCGGUGAAUACGUUCCCGGGCCUUGUACACACCGCCCGUCAAGCCAUGGGAGCCGGGGGUACCUGAAGUACGUAACCGCAAGGAUCGUCCUAGGGUAAAACUGGUGACUGG
This 1432-nucleotide ribosomal RNA is filed under the name uncultured organism. RNAcentral describes it as "16S ribosomal RNA". It matches the Rfam family "Bacterial small subunit ribosomal RNA". The record is from RNAcentral.